ACAAGGUUUCCGUAGGUAUGUAUCGACCCCUUCCCUCCCCACCGGCCUGGACUAACGAGACUGUAGGUGAACCUGCGGAAGGAUCAUUACUGAGUGAGGGUCUCCGAGCCCGACCUCCAACCCUUUGUCAAACUACUGUGUUGCUUCGGCGGGCCUGUCUUCGCGACUGCCGGGGAGGCGACUCCCGGGCGCGCGCCCGUCGGCGGCCCCUACAAACUCUGGUGAACGUGUCGUCUGAGUGUGGAUGAAUACCUAAAACUUUCAACAACGGAUCUCUUGGUUCUGGCAUCGAUGAAGAACGCAGCGAAAUGCGAUAAGUAAUGCGAAUUGCAGAAUUUCAGUGAGUCAUCGAAUCUUUGAACGCACAUUGCGCCCUUUGGCAUUCCGAAGGGCAUGCCUGUCCGAGCGUCAGUACAACCUCUCCGGCCCGGCUGGGUGUUGCGAUCGAGGUCGGGGUCGCCCCGACCGGUCCCAAAGACAACGACGGCGUCCGUGGGACUCUCGGUGCAACGAGCUUGGUGACAGGCACGCGGCGAGCAGGUCCCCCGGGGGCGGUCUGACCCUUUCUCUACGGUUGACCUCGGAUCAGGUAGGAAUACCCGCUGAACUUAAGCAUAU
RNAcentral lists this ribosomal RNA (618 nucleotides) under Phaeosaccardinula multiseptata. RNAcentral describes it as "eukaryotic LSU rRNA". The stretch from base 257 to 411 matches the Rfam family "5.8S ribosomal RNA". The record is from RNAcentral. Lineage: Eukaryota; Fungi; Ascomycota; Eurotiomycetes; Chaetothyriales; Chaetothyriaceae.